RNAcentral lists this microRNA precursor (136 nucleotides) under Hordeum vulgare. RNAcentral describes it as "microRNA MIR1122". It matches the Rfam family "MIR1120/MIR1122 microRNA precursor family". Lineage: Eukaryota; Viridiplantae; Streptophyta; Magnoliopsida; Poales; Poaceae. The record is from RNAcentral.
UACAUACUCCCUCCGUCCCAAAAUUCUUGUCUUAGAUUUGUCUAUAUAUGAAUGUACCUAGUCAAGUUUUAGUAUUUAGAUACAUUCAUUUCUAGACAAACCUAAGACAAGAAUUUUGGGACGGAGGGAGUAUGUA